This 466-nucleotide ribosomal RNA is filed under the name uncultured bacterium. Its description in RNAcentral is "partial 16S ribosomal RNA". It matches the Rfam family "Bacterial small subunit ribosomal RNA", at positions 28 to 507 of the family's 1533-position model. The record is from RNAcentral.
GACGAACGCUGGCGGCGCGCCUAACACAUGCAAGUCGAACGAGCGAGAGAGAGCUUGCUUUCUCGAGCGAGUGGCGAACGGGUGAGUAACGCGUGAGGAACCUGCCUCAAAGAGGGGGACAACAGUUGGAAACGACUGCUAAUACCGCAUAAGCCCACGGCUCGGCAUCGAGCAGGGGGAAAGGGAGCAAUCCGCUUUGAGAUGGCCUCGCGUCCGAUUAGCUAGUUGGUGAGGUAACGGCCCACCAAGGCGACGAUCGGUAGCCGGACUGAGAGGUUGAACGGCCACAUUGGGACUGAGACACGGCCCAGACUCCUACGGGAGGCAGCAGUGGGGAAUAUUGCACAAUGGGGGAAACCCUGAUGCAGCGACGCCGCGUGGAGGAAGAAGGUCUUCGGAUUGUAAACUCCUGUUGUUGGGGAAGAUAAUGACGGUACCCAACAAGGAAGUGACGGCUAACUACGUG